Molecule: ribosomal RNA, 253 nt
Filed under: uncultured bacterium
Lineage: Bacteria
Description: partial 16S ribosomal RNA
Rfam family: Bacterial small subunit ribosomal RNA
Source: RNAcentral
UACAGAGGGGGCAAGCGUUGUUCGGAAUUACUGGGCGUAAAGGGCGCGUCGGCGGCCUGUUAAGUCGAACGUGAAAUCCCCGGGCUCAACCCGGGAACUGCGUCCGAUACUGGCAGGCUUGAAUCCGGGAGAGGGAUGCGGAAUUCCAGGUGUAGCGGUGAAAUGCGUAGAUAUCUGGAGGAACACCGGUGGCGAAGGCGGCAUCCUGGACCGGCAUUGACGCUGAGGCGCGAAAGCCAGGGGAGCAAACGGG